CGGACGGGUGAGUAACGCGUGGGUAACCUGCCCUGUACAGGGGGAUAACAGUUAGAAAUGACUGCUAACACCGCAUAAGCACACGGUAAGGCAUCUUAGUGUGUGAAAAUAUUCAUAGGUACAGGAUGGGCCCGCGUCUGAUUAGCCAGUUGGCAGGGUAACGGCCUACCAAAGCGACGAUCAGUAGCCGGCUUGAGAGAGUGAACGGCCACAUUGGGACUGAGACACGGCCCAAACUCCUACGGGAGGCAGCAG
RNAcentral lists this ribosomal RNA (255 nucleotides) under uncultured bacterium. RNAcentral describes it as "partial 16S ribosomal RNA". It matches the Rfam family "Bacterial small subunit ribosomal RNA", at positions 99 to 354 of the family's 1533-position model. The record is from RNAcentral.